GAUGAACGCUGGCGGCGUGCCUAAUACAUGCAAGUCGAGCGAAUGGAUUAAGAGCUUGCUCUUAUGAAGUUAGCGGCGGACGGGUGAGUAACACGUGGGUAACCUGCCCAUAAGACUGGGAUAACUCCGGGAAACCGGGGCUAAUACCGGAUAACAUUUUGAACCGCAUGGUUCGAAAUUGAAAGGCGGCUUCGGCUGUCACUUAUGGAUGGACCCGCGUCGCAUUAGCUAGUUGGUGAGGUAACGGCUCACCAAGGCAACGAUGCGUAGCCGACCUGAGAGGGUGAUCAGACACACUGGGACUGAGACACGGCCCAGACUCCUACGGGAGGCAGCAGUAGGGAAUCUUCCGCAAUGGACGAAAGUCUGACGGAGCGACGCCGCGUGAGUGAUGAAGGCUUUCGGGUCGUAAAACUCUGUUGUUAGGGAAGAACAAAUGCUAGUUGAAUAAGCUGGCACCUUGACGGUACCUAACCAGAAAGCCACGGCUAACUACGUGCCAGCCGCCGCCGUAA
This 515-nucleotide ribosomal RNA is filed under the name uncultured bacterium. Its description in RNAcentral is "partial 16S ribosomal RNA". It matches the Rfam family "Bacterial small subunit ribosomal RNA", at positions 28 to 523 of the family's 1533-position model. The record is from RNAcentral.